UACUAGAGUAGCACUCGCAUAUCAAUAAGCGGAGGAAAAGAAACUAACAAGGAUUCCCCUAGUAACGGCGAGUGAAGCGGGAAGAGCUCAAAUUUGAAAUCUUAAAGGGUUUCCCUUUACGAAUUGUAGUUUAAAGAAGUGUUUUCUGUUGAGGUUUUGGUAAAAGUUCUUUGGAAUAGGACAUCAUAGAGGGUGAGAAUCCCGUAUUUGACCUUUACUUUCAACUUUGUGAUACACUUUCAAAGAGUCGGAUUGUUUGGGAAUGCAGUCCAAAAUGGGUGGUAAAUUUCAUCUAAAGCUAAAUAUUGGCGAGAGACCGAUAGCGAACAAGUACCGUGAGGGAAAGAUGAAAAGAACUUUGAAAAGAGAGUUAAACAGUACGUGAAAUUGUCAAAAGGGAAGCGUUUGACACCAGUGUUGUUUUUCUGAAAAUCAAUUAAAGAACUGUUUAUGCUAAGUUGUUUAGACUUUAUCAGCUAUCUGUUUAGUUUUAGGCUUUUCUUUAAUGCACUUUUCAGUUAACAAGUCAACAUCAAUUUCUUUUGCUGUAAAAAAGCUUGAGGAAGGUGGCUUGAGAUUCGUCUUAAGUGUUUAUAGCCUCUUGCCUAUGCAGUCGGAGAGAUUGAGGUCUGCAGCGUAGAUCCUUCGGGGCUAAAUGCAUUUGUGCUAAGUUAUAGCAUUUUAUAGACAACUUGUUGACUAUGAUUUGUCUUGUAGCUUACUCGCUUAUGUUAUUUUACCUACGCUUAGGAUGUUGAGUAAGCGACAUACGCAC
RNAcentral lists this ribosomal RNA (775 nucleotides) under uncultured Neocallimastigales. Its description in RNAcentral is "partial large subunit ribosomal RNA". It matches the Rfam family "Eukaryotic large subunit ribosomal RNA", at positions 20 to 649 of the family's 3401-position model. The record is from RNAcentral. Lineage: Eukaryota; Fungi; Neocallimastigomycota; Neocallimastigomycetes; Neocallimastigales.